This 431-nucleotide ribosomal RNA is filed under the name uncultured bacterium. RNAcentral's name for it is "bacterial SSU rRNA". It matches the Rfam family "Bacterial small subunit ribosomal RNA", at positions 960 to 1391 of the family's 1533-position model. The record is from RNAcentral.
CGCGAAGAACCUUACCUGGUCUUGACAUCCACAGAACUUUCCAGAGAUGGAUUGGUGCCUCCGGGAACUGUGAGACAGGUGCUGCAUGGCUGUCGUCAGCUCGUGUUGUGAAAUGUUGGGUUAAGUCCCGCAACGAGCGCAACCCUUAUCCUUUGUUGCCAGCGGUCCGGCCGGGAACUCAAAGGAGACUGCCAGUGAUAAACUGGAGGAAGGUGGGGAUGACGUCAAGUCAUCAUGGCCCUUACGACCAGGGCUACACACGUGCUACAAUGGCGCAUACAAAGAGAAGCGACCUCGCGAGAGCAAGCGGACCUCAUAAAGUGCGUCGUAGUCCGGAUUGGAGUCUGCAACUCGACUCCAUGAAGUCGGAAUCGCUAGUAAUCGUGGAUCAGAAUGCCACGGUGAAUACGUUCCCGGGUCUUGUACACACC